UUGCUAGAUCUAUAUAAUUAAAAUGAUUUGGUUGGAUAUAGUGACUCCUUGCUAUGCAGCUGGGUGGGUGUGGGUGUUUGUGUGAGGUGUGUUGCAGGAGCAAGUAGGAUUAUGUUUUCUGCAUGUCGGAACGUGACAAGGCAGCCGAAGGAUGUGCUGUUCAAUGGCAGGUGCUUUGUAGUAAGCCUACUCAGUCAUUAAUUUGUGCCUCCACAUAUCUUGUGGUUACAGCCAAGUCAUGUAAUUGGGUGAGUUAGAGGAUCUUCAUGGUCUGGACUCACAGUGAAGAACAACUCCAAAAUUUCCUGUCCAACCUCAACUCCUUUGAUUCCAUCAGAUUCACCUGGUCCUACUCCAAAUCCCAUGCCACUUUCCUUGACAUUUACCUCCAUCUGUCCAAUAGCCAACUUCACAUUUCUGUACACAUCUAACCCACCAACAAGCAACAUUACCUACAUUUUGACAGCUGCCACCCAUUCCAUAUCAAACAGUCGCUUCCCUACAGCUUUGGUCUUCGUGGCAAACUAAUCUGCUCCAGUCCUGAAUCCCUGAACCAUUACACCAAUAACCUCAAAACAGCUUUCGCAUUCCGCAACUACCCUCCCGACCUGGUACAAAAGCAAAUAACCAGAGCCACUUCCUCAUCCCCUCAAACCCAGAACCUCCCACAGAAUAACCCCAAAAGUGCCCCACUUGUAACAGGAUACUUUCCAGGACUGGAUCAGACUCUGAAUGUGGCUCACCAGCAGGGAUAGGCUUUCUCAAGUCCUGCCCUGAAAUGAGAUGCAUCCUUCAUGAAAUCCUCCGCACUCCACCAAGAGUGUCUUUCCGCCGUCCACCUAACCUUCGUAACCUCUUGGUCACCCCUGUGAAAUCCCCAAACCACUUUCCCUACCCUCUGGCUCCUACCCUUGUAACCGCCCCCGGUGUAAGACCUGUCCCAUGCACCCUCCCACCACCACCACCUACUCCAGUCCUGUAACCCAGAAGUAGUACACGAUCAAAGGCAGAGCCACGUGUGAAAGCACCCAUGUGAUUUACCAACUGACCUGCCUACACUGUGAUGCAUUCUAUGUGGGAAUGACCAGCAACAAACUGUCCAUUCGCAUGAACGGACAGUGGCAGACAGUGUUUGUUGGUAAUGAGGAUCACCCUGUGGCUAAACAUGCCUUGGUGCAGGGCCAGCACAUCUUGGCACAGUGUUACACCGUCCGGGUUAUCUGGAUACUUCCCACUGACACCAACCUAUCAGAACGCCGGAGAUGGGAACUUGCCCGUCAAUAUAUUCUCUCCUCCCGUUACCCACCAGGCCUCAACCUCCGCUAAUUUCAAGUUGCCGCCCCUCCUACCUCACCUGUCAUCCAACAACAUCUUUGCCUUUGUACAUCCGCCUCGACUGACACCUCUGCCUAACCUCUUUGCAUUUACAUAUGUCUGCCUGUGUCUGUAUAUGUGCAGAUGGAUAUGUGUGUGUGUGUGUGUGUGUGUGUGCGUGCGUGCGUGCGUGCGUGCGUGCGUGCGUAUACCUGUCCUUUUUUCCCCCUAAGGUAAGUCUUUCCACUCCCGGGAUUGGGCUGACUCCUUACCCUCUCCCUUAAAACCAACAUCCUUUCGUCUUUCCCUCUCCUUCCCUCUUUCCUGAUGAAGCAACUUUAGGUUUGCGUGUGUGUGUGUGUUUGUUAUUGUCUCCUAUCAACAUACCAACGCUUUCAUUUGGUAAGUUACACCAUCUUGGUUUUUUAUAUAUAAUUCACGCAGCUGUGUUUGCAAGGUGAUGGAAUGUAUGACUCAUGCCUGGCUGGUAUGGUGGCUUGUAAUUUACUAACCACUGCACAAUGUGGAUUUAAAGCACACCAUUUUUCAGUUGACCAUCUCGUCACUUUGUCCACCCAUGUCAUGAAUGGUUUUCUGUGGAAAUCCCAGGCUGUGGGCAUUUUUCCAUUUGGAGAAAGCUUAAGACACCUGCUGGAGGACUGAUAUCCUCCAUACUCUCUACAUGUGUGGCAUCUUUGGCCGCCUGCCCCAUUUUCUUCAGGAAUUUUUGAAAAGACUGAGUUUUCAAAGUAAGUAUGGGUUCUGCCUUGUUGGGCACCUUUAUCCAGCAAACUGGUGUGCCUCGGGGUUCCGUACUGAGCAUCAUCCUCUUUGCUAUCGCCAUUAACCCUAUAAUGGCCUAUGUCCCACCGGGCAUCAUCUCCGGCUCCCUUUUCGUUGAUGACUUUGCUAUCUAUUGCAGCUCUUCACAGACUUGUCUCAUUGAGCAGCACCUUCAGCAGUGUCUUGAUUGUCUUUACUUAUGGAACAUCGACAAUGGCUUUCGUUUUUCCACUGACAAAAUCAGUGCAAUUGGUUUCUCCCAUCAUCUUUACAUCUUGGGCCUGUUGCUCAUUGAAACUACGAAAUUCCUGGGGCUUCUGUUCGAUAGGAAAAACUCUUGGUUCUCCCACAUGUCUUACCUGACAGCUCACUGUACGUGGUCCCUCAAUGUCCUACGUGUCCUCAAUGGUACUUUCUGGGGUGCAGAUCAAACCAUUCUCCUCUGUUUGUACCGGUCCCUUGUCCAUUCAAAAAUAAACUGUGCAUUCUUUGUUUAUGCAUCUGCCCAUCCAUCCCUCCUACACUGUCUCAAUACUGUUCACCAUCGUGGCCUCCGUUUGGCCACUGUCACCUUUUAAAUUAACCCAGUUGAGAGUCUGUAUGCAGAAGCAGUCGAACUUUCAAUUGAGAGUCUGUAUGCAGAAGCUGCCGAACUACUACUGUCCUGCCGCCAUGACUUUCGCCUCUGCAGAUAUGCGUGCCGUUUGUCUGCCAUGCAUGAGCACCUGUCAUAUGCCCCCAUUUUCAAUGACUCCUUGAUCGCCAGUGCAGGGCACGUCCCUGACAGGGAAAAAUGCUAAAACUUCUUCUAAUAAUUUCCGGGCUCUUCAGUAGUUGUGUACUCACCUGAUGAUGGCCGGACGUCUCUGGGCCGAAAUAUCGUGGCAGAAUGUCGACGGGAUCCGGCUGCAUACCCGGAAAUUAUUAGAAGAAGAAAUACGCCGGGAAAAUUUCAGAAGUCACAUGCUAAAACUUGUCUUGAAAUCAUGGAAAUAUCAGGGAAUUUCACGUGGGGAAACUUGUGGCAACCGUGAUUUGGCUGGCAUGCAGAACUCUGCCCAUAGUGAGAGACUUGAAGAGCUGCCUGUUUGGUAAGUUUGUAACAGUAAUAAUAUACUUAAUUCUGUGAGUCUAGUUAGGUACUUUGUUGUAAGGUAUUAGUCUAGAUAAUUACCCUUGGUUGACAUGGGCGCAUUUAAAUGUGGGAUGAGCUAUUUGGUUCCUCUCCAGCAGGUGCCGUGUGGCGAGUUGUGUACCGUGGCUCUUAGGAAUUCCUAAUCAAAGUUGGACAACUUGAAAGGAGAGUAUGGUUGUGGGAUUUAGAGCCAGCCAUGAGGAAACGAUUACAAUGCUGACUUUUGCACUAUUAGAUGUAAAGGGAGAAAGUAGGAGCCGUCUUGAAGAUGAUGAUACUGAACAAGUAAAUGUGUCGUCAGGACGCCAAAGUUGGUUCUUAAGAGGAAUUGCUAAAUGCGACAUUUGCCCAGUAUGACCAUGGGUUUAUUUGUCAGUAUGAGGGAUGUAUGUGAACAUAGUUCCACAUGAAUAUUUGACUUGAGACAUGAUAAAUUUCUUGUGAGUGCUACAAGAAUUAUAGGUAUGGCUGAGGAGAGUGGUGGUUGGGCCUGUCAUGGACUGCUGCAAGGAAGAAAUUUUUUUCUGUUUAAUUGCUAUGCUCAUAUGAUGUAAAGCGUUUUAUCACUAAAGGAGAAUGAAGGAUUAAGUUUUUGUUCAUCAGACCAUAGUGCCUAUGCCGAAGUGUGUGCCAUAUCAGAAAAGUUUUUGUGUAAUAAGUCUUUUAGGUCCUUAAUAUUUACAGUUAUCAAUUUUGGUGGAGAUCACUACAUCAUGUUUUGAGUCGUCAGGCCUUUUAUGCAGGUGGCAGUGUGUGUUAUUUUUUGAUUGCAGGCCUGGAGAAAUCUAAUUUUCGAGAUGGGAUAAAAGCAUUGAAACGUCACCGGACCAAGGGCAUUAGUGUAGUGGGAGACUGCCUUGAAAAAUAAAAAAUUUUUCACUGAGGUUCCUGUAUUAUGUCCUGAAAGAAUAUCUUGUGGACGACAGAAAUAGCCCCAGUUCCAUUUUUUGUCGUGGAGUGUCAUUUAACAUGUUGAAAACAACUGUCCAUAUUGCCUUUUAAUCAAAGCUGUAACAUUUGUAACACUGCUUUCAGUUGUUAUUGUUGAUAUUUUACUGUGUUUGGAAAUUGUACCUCCAUUCCUUAUGGAAAUAACUUCAAUAAUGUUAAUUAAGCUUUAUUUGUUAGUAAUUAAUUUUAAAUGUGUAAUUUUUUCAUUUGCUACUCUUGUUCAUUAUCAGGUUACAUGUGUGUGAAACUUUGUAGAUUUCAUUAAAGAUAUGUUUGAAGAAAAGUUAAAGCAAUAAAUUUUUUU
Schistocerca nitens (vagrant locust) is the source of this 4487-nucleotide long non-coding RNA. RefSeq lists it as uncharacterized. NCBI's taxonomy places the organism in Eukaryota, Metazoa, Arthropoda, Insecta, Orthoptera, Acrididae. The transcript has 6 exons. The record is from RefSeq and is a predicted model, not a curated record.